AUACGGAGGGUGCAAGCGUUAUCCGGAAUCAUUGGGUUUAAAGGGUCCGCAGGCGGAUUAAUAAGUCAGUGGUGAAAUCCUCUCGCUCAACGAGAGAACUGCCAUUGAAACUGUUAGUCUUGAAUUCGGUCGAAGUAGGCGGAAUGUGUCAUGUAGCGGUGAAAUGCAUAGAUAGGACACAGAACACCGAUAGCGAAGGCAGCUUACUAGACCUGGAUUGACGCUCAUGGACGAAAGCGUGGGGAGCGAACAGGAUUAGAAACCCUAGUAGUCC
RNAcentral lists this ribosomal RNA (274 nucleotides) under uncultured bacterium. RNAcentral's name for it is "partial 16S ribosomal RNA". It matches the Rfam family "Bacterial small subunit ribosomal RNA", at positions 523 to 796 of the family's 1533-position model. The record is from RNAcentral.